Molecule: ribosomal RNA, 254 nt
Filed under: uncultured bacterium
Lineage: Bacteria
Description: partial 16S ribosomal RNA
Rfam family: Bacterial small subunit ribosomal RNA
Source: RNAcentral
UACGUAGGGUGCGAGCGUUGUCCGGAAUUAUUGGGCGUAAAGAGCUCGUAGGCGGUGUGUCGCGUCGGCCGUGAAAACCUGGGGCUCAACUCUGGGCGUGCGGUCGAUACGGGCAUCACUUGAGUUCGGCAGGGGAGACUGGAAUUCCUGGUGUAGCGGUGAAAUGCGCAGAUAUCAGGAGGAACACCGGUGGCAAAGGCGGGUCUCUGGGCCGAUACUGACGCUGAGGAGCGAAAGCAUGGGUAGCGAACAGG